RNAcentral lists this transfer RNA (82 nucleotides) under Candidatus Moraniibacteriota bacterium. RNAcentral describes it as "tRNA-Leu". It matches the Rfam family "tRNA". From Rfam's summary of the family: Transfer RNA (tRNA) molecules are approximately 80 nucleotides in length. Their secondary structure includes four short double-helical elements and three loops (D, anti-codon, and T loops). Lineage: Bacteria; Candidatus Moraniibacteriota. The record is from RNAcentral.
GCCCAAGUGGUGGAAUUGGUAUACACGCACGACUCAAAAUCGUGUGGCGCAAGCCAUAAGAGUUCGAGUCUCUUCUUGGGCA